Molecule: ribosomal RNA, 465 nt
Filed under: Vreelandella stevensii
Lineage: Bacteria; Pseudomonadati; Pseudomonadota; Gammaproteobacteria; Oceanospirillales; Halomonadaceae
Description: partial 16S ribosomal RNA
Rfam family: Bacterial small subunit ribosomal RNA
Source: RNAcentral
CCUACGGGGGGCAGCAGUGGGGAAUAUUGGACAAUGGGGGCAACCCUGAUCCAGCCAUGCCGCGUGUGUGAAGAAGGCCCUCGGGUUGUAAAGCACUUUCAGUGAGGAAGAACGCCUGGUGGUUAAUACCCAUCAGGAAAGACAUCACUCACAGAAGAAGCACCGGCUAACUCCGUGCCAGCAGCCGCGGUAAUACGGAGGGUGCGAGCGUUAAUCGGAAUUACUGGGCGUAAAGCGCGCGUAGGUGGCUUGAUAAGCCGGUUGUGAAAGCCCCGGGCUCAACCUGGGAACGGCAUCCGGAACUGUCAAGCUAGAGUGCAGGAGAGGAAGGUAGAAUUCCCGGUGUAGCGGUGAAAUGCGUAGAGAUCGGGAGGAAUACCAGUGGCGAAGGCGGCCUUCUGGACUGACACUGACACUGAGGUGCGAAAGCGUGGGUAGCAAACAGGAUUAGAUACCCCAGUAGUC